CGCGUAGGUCGGGAUGGCAAAGUCGGUCGUGAAAUCCUUCGGCUCAACCGAAGAACGUCGGCCGAUACUGCCGUUCUUGAGGGAUGCAGAGGAGACUGGAAUUCCCGGUGUAGCGGUGAAAUGUGUAGAGAUCGGGAGGAACACCGGUGGCGAAGGCGGGUCUCUGGGCAUCUCCUGACGCUGAGGCGCGAAAGCGUGGGGAGCAAACGGGAUUAGAUACCCCGGUAGUCCACGCCAUAAACGAUGACGACUAGGUGUGGGGUGGUUCAGUCCACUCCGUGCCGCAGCUAACGCAUUAAGUCGUCCGGCCUGGGGAUACGGCCGCAAGGUUGAA
RNAcentral lists this ribosomal RNA (334 nucleotides) under uncultured bacterium. Its description in RNAcentral is "bacterial SSU rRNA". It matches the Rfam family "Bacterial small subunit ribosomal RNA", at positions 568 to 898 of the family's 1533-position model. The record is from RNAcentral.